This is a long non-coding RNA of Mesocricetus auratus (golden hamster), 1781 nucleotides long. RefSeq lists it as uncharacterized. Lineage: Eukaryota; Metazoa; Chordata; Mammalia; Rodentia; Cricetidae. The transcript has 3 exons. The record is from RefSeq and is a predicted model, not a curated record.
CUGAUCUCUGUGAGUUCAAGGCCAGCCUGCUCUACAGAGCUACAUAGAGAAAACCUAUCUCAAAAAAUCAAGGGAAAAAAAAGUGUGGUUGGCUUUCUUUGGCUACUAGCCCCUAAAUCAUAGCACAGACUUAUUAAUUAUGAAUUCUCUGCCUUAGCUUAUGUUUGUUUCUAGCUAGCUUUCCCCCCUUUAACUUAAAUUAACCCAUUUCUAUCAAUCUUUGUGCUGGCCGAUAAAAGUUGUUCUGUAGCACCCAGGACUCUUAACCCAGGAACUGCAAGCUAACAGCAGAGGGGGCCGUGGGUCAGGAAGUGCCAAGCUAAGGCCAGGCACUCAUAAGUAAUAAUAAGACUCCAUGUGUGGUUUAUUUGGGAGCUGGGUGGUGGGCACCUCAAAAAGCCAAAAGGGCAAAAACAACACACAAUUUGUUUUUUUUUUUGCAUCAAAAGAUAUUUAAUAGGAGCUACAUUCUGUGAAUUAGCCCCGUGAGUGAAGUGAGUGUUCAUUAAUACUUUUGUUUUCAUUUAAUAUCAUUAUUAUUAUUAUUAUUGUCUUUUUGAGAUGGGGGUCUUGCUACAUACUGCUGGCUAUGCUGGAUCUGGCUGGUCUCAAACUUUCAGAGGUCCACCUGCCCCUGCCUACAUGGUGCUUGGAUUAAAGGCGUGUGCUUGGUUCACAUCCAUUUUUUUUCUCCUUAUUUGAUAAAGUUUUGUGGGCUCCAUGAACUUUGGGAAGGUGAGCUUGCAGGUUUGGUACUUAAGGGUGAGCUUUGCCUCUGGGGGAAUAAUUAUGUAUAUGUAUAUGUAUGUGUAUGUGUAUAUGUAUAUGUAUAUGUAUAUAUGUAUACACCACAGUGCUGAAGCCAUUGUGUCAUGGAGGGUGCCAUCAAAGUGUUUGUCCCACACUUUGGAUGCAUCUUUUAAGGUGAUCUGCUUUGGGUAUCACACAGCAGCAGGGAACCUAUCUACCAUCAGGCUGCCCAGCAGGUGUGGUGUGACUAAAAUUCAUACUUCUUUCAGCAACUGAUUUGGCAAUUUGUUAAGUCUUACAGACUUCACCACAACUCUCUACCAGGCUCUUCUGCUGGGCUGACACAGGCUUCUGUUGCCGGCACAGAACCUGGGAGCGCUGAAGGAGGGAAUGUGAGCUCCCUGACACUGUCCGGGAAGCUGGGGAACUCACAGCGGAGCAGGGUGGGACAAGAAACUGCUCAGCCUCGGUCCAUAGCACAGAGGAGCUUCCGGAGCAGCUGCGCAAACAGAAGCAGCUGUCACCCGGGAACCAAGGGAUCGACAGCCAUCAGGAAGAAUAGUAGUUUCUUGCUCAUAAAUUUAUUUUAGAAUGUGUAUAUGCACAUGAAUGCAAUGUGCAAUGCCCUUGGGAGCCGCCUGAUGUGGGUGCUGGGAACCAAACUUGGGUCCUCUGGAAGAGCGGCACAGUCUUAGCAGCUAAGCAGAAGCCAUCUUUUCAGCCGUGUGCUCAGUCUCUUAUCGUCUGGAAGUGCAGGGAGGAGUACCUGCUGGCCCCAUGCGCUGGGGCAUUCGCCGACUCCGAGUUGGCUUAAAAGCUGGCUCAAGUUAAUUGGUGCAGCAGAAACGAGGAAGGCGAAUUGCUUCACCCAAGGCCAGCAGGAUGGCGGUGUGAUGGUGAAGUUGUGUAACCCUUCCAGACACAGCGUGGCUAUUUCUGGUGAUUUGCAAUGAUCAGUGAGGCCAGUAAGAAACAUGAUGUCCUCUUUCUCUUUAAAUGUGUUUAAUAAAAUAGACAUGGUGUGCUUGGGU